UGUAGCCAUGCCUUCCUCUUCCUCUUCCUCUUCCUCAUCCAUCUGCUCGGCAUUCUGCCCUCCUCAUCCCCCCAGGCUGUUUCUCUGUAGAUCUAGAAACUGAAAGUUAUUUUCUCCUUCAUUUCCUCGGUCUUCCUAACAUCCAGACUCAGUUAGAUGAGAUCAGCUGGUGUUAAGCAGAUGAACGUGUCACUUCCUGUUUG
RNAcentral lists this microRNA precursor (203 nucleotides) under Poecilia formosa (Amazon molly). Its description in RNAcentral is "miRNA (ENSPFOG00000021628.1)". The record is from RNAcentral. Lineage: Eukaryota; Metazoa; Chordata; Actinopteri; Cyprinodontiformes; Poeciliidae.